Molecule: ribosomal RNA, 459 nt
Filed under: uncultured bacterium
Lineage: Bacteria
Description: partial 16S ribosomal RNA
Rfam family: Bacterial small subunit ribosomal RNA
Source: RNAcentral
CCUACGGGGGGCAGCAGUGAGGAAUAUUGGUCAAUGGGCGGGAGCCUGAACCAGCCAAGUCGCGUGAGGGAAGAAGGUACUGAGUAUUGUAAACCUCUUUUGCCAGGGGACAAAGGCGGCCACGGGUGGCCGUAAGAGGGUACCUGGAGAAAAAGCAUCGGCUAACUCCGGGUCAGCAGCCGCGGUAAUACGGAGGAUGCGAGCGUUAUCCGGAUUUAUUGGGGUAAGAGGGUGCGCAGGCGGCGUGCCAAGUCAGCGGUAAAAUGUCGGGGCUAAACCCCGGCCGGCCGUUGAAACUGGGGGGCUGGAGUUGGAGAGAGGUAUGCGGAAUUCGUGGUGUAGCGGUGAAAUGCGUAGAGAUCAGGAAGAACCCCGAUUGCGAAGGCGGCAUACCGGCUCCACACUGACGCUGAGGCACGAAAGCGUGGGUAUCGAACAGGAUUAGAUACCCCUGUAGUC